Long non-coding RNA from Frieseomelitta varia, 304 nucleotides. RefSeq lists it as uncharacterized. NCBI's taxonomy places the organism in Eukaryota, Metazoa, Arthropoda, Insecta, Hymenoptera, Apidae. The transcript is spliced from 2 exons. The record is from RefSeq and is a predicted model, not a curated record.
GGUGAAUCGUGUAUGAGGAACAGCCAGAAGCAGUACCUUCGAAAUGAUUCUUUACAUCAACAUCUGUUUCUUGCGUUAAAAAGACGUCAUGAUCAUUACCAGAUGACACCAAGUAACGAAGUUACGUAAAACGCUGCACCCCAGCCGAAUGUACUGCUGACAAUUGCACAGAGGGGGUAAGUUAUAGCAGCACCUACAGAACUACCUGAAAAGUAACAUAUUUAGAAACCUGUCGUAAUUUAAUUCACUAAUCACUAGCAAUUCUCGGAUAUGAAUCACUUGAUUAUUAUGAUAUAUAUAAAUA